This 1552-nucleotide ribosomal RNA is filed under the name Corynebacterium urinipleomorphum. Its description in RNAcentral is "bacterial LSU rRNA". It matches the Rfam family "Bacterial large subunit ribosomal RNA", at positions 1421 to 2925 of the family's 2925-position model. The record is from RNAcentral. Lineage: Bacteria; Bacillati; Actinomycetota; Actinomycetes; Mycobacteriales; Corynebacteriaceae.
ACCACCCUGACCACCUGCCAUGAUCAUCUUUGAUGGUUGGGUGGGUGUGAUGCGUGGGGCCUGAUCUGUAGUAGUCAAGUGAUGGGGUGACACAGAUUGGUAGCUACGCCACUUAGUGGAUUGUGGUGCAAGCGUGCGGCACGGCACCUAGUUAAAUGCGGGUGCCUUAUGUGUGAGGCGUGAUGCGUAACCCUUGUUGGGUGAUGGUAGUGAUCCUGUGCUGUCGAGAAAAGCCUCUAGCGAUGUGUAUAUACGGCCCGUACCCGAAACCGACACAGGUAGUCAAGUAGAACAUACUCAGGCGGUCGGGUGAACUGUGGUUAAGGAACUCGGCAAAUUGCCCCCGUAACUUCGGGAGAAGGGGGGCCACAACUGGUGAUCCGAACAUGCGUUGGUGAGCUGGUUGGGGUCGCAGAAAAGAGAGGGAAGCGACUGUUUAUCAAAAACACAGGUCCGUGCGAAGACGGUUAAGUUGAUGUAUACGGACUGACGCCUGCCCGGUGCUGGAAGGUUAAGAGGACCUGUUAGGACAUAUGUGUCCGAAGCGGAGAAUUUAAGCCCCAGUAAACGGCGGUGGUAACUAUAACCAUCCUAAGGUAGCGAAAUUCCUUGUCGGGUAAGUUCCGACCUGCACGAAUGGCGUAACGACUUCCCUGCUGUCUCAACCACAGGCCCGGUGAAAUUGCACUACGAGUAAAGAUGCUCGUUUCGCGCGGCAGGACGAAAAGACCCCGGGACCUUCACUAUAGCUUGGUAUUGGUGUUUACUGCGGUUUGUGUAGCAUAGGUGGGAGACUUAGAAGCGCUCACGCUAGUGGGUGUGGAGUCGUCAAGUGAAAUACCACUCUGACCGUAGUGGAUGUCUUAACCUUGGCCCAUGAUCUGGGUUGGGGACAGUGCCUGGUGGGUAGUUUAACUGGGGCGGUUGCCUCCCAAAGAGUAACGGAGGCGCCCAAAGGUUCCCUCAGCCUGGUUGGCAAUCAGGUGUUUAGAGUGUAAGUGCACAAGGGAGCUUGACUGCGAGACCUACGAGUCGAGCAGGGACGAAAGUCGGGACUAGUGAUCCGGCACCUACUUGUGGAUGUGGUGUCGCUCAACGGAUAAAAGGUACCCCGGGGAUAACAGGCUGAUCUUCCCCAAGAGUCCAUAUCGACGGGAUGGUUUGGCACCUCGAUGUCGGCUCGUCGCAUCCUGGGGCUGGAGUAGGUCCCAAGGGUUGGGCUGUUCGCCCAUUAAAGCGGCACGCGAGCUGGGUUCAGAACGUCGUGAGACAGUUCGGUCUCUAUCCGCCGCGCGCGCAGAAACUUGAGAAAGGCUGUCCCCAGUACGAGAGGACCGGGACGGACGUACCUCUGGUGUGCCAGUUGUUCCGCCAGGAGCACCGCUGGUUGGCUACGUACGGAAGGGAUAACCGCUGAAAGCAUCUAAGCGGGAAGCCUGUUUCAAGAUGAGGUUUCAUAGGUUCCCCAUAGACGAUGGGGUUGAUAGGCCAGAUCUGGACGCACCGUGACGUGCGAAGGUGACUGGUACUAAUACACCAACCAACAAACCAC